This 492-nucleotide ribosomal RNA is filed under the name uncultured bacterium. RNAcentral describes it as "partial 16S ribosomal RNA". It matches the Rfam family "Bacterial small subunit ribosomal RNA", at positions 29 to 507 of the family's 1533-position model. The record is from RNAcentral.
AGUGAACGCUGGCGGUAGGCCUAACACAUGCAAGUCGAACGGCAGCACAGUAAGAGCUUGCUCUUACGGGUGGCGAGUGGCGGACGUGAGAGGAAUACAUCGGAAUCUACUUUUUCGUGGGGGAUAACGUAGCGAAACUUACGCUAAUACCGCAUACGACCUGCGGGUGAAAGCAGUGGAUCUUCGGACCUUGCGCGAUUGAAUGAGCCGAUGUCGGAUUAGCUAGUUGGCGGGGUAAAGGCCCACCAAGGCGACGAUCCGUAGCUGGUCUGAGAGGAUGAUCAGCCACACUGGAACUGAGACACGGUCCAGACGCCUACGGGAGGCAGCAGUGGGGAAUAUUGGACAAUGGGCGCAAGCCUGAUCCAGCCAUACUGCGUGUGUGAAGAAGGCCUUCGGGUUGUAAAGCCCUUUUGUUGGGAAAGAAAAGCAUCAGGUUAAUACCCCGCUGGUCUGACGGUACCCAAAGAAUAAGCACCGGCUAACUACGUG